This 254-nucleotide ribosomal RNA is filed under the name uncultured bacterium. RNAcentral describes it as "partial 16S ribosomal RNA". It matches the Rfam family "Bacterial small subunit ribosomal RNA", at positions 524 to 776 of the family's 1533-position model. The record is from RNAcentral.
GACGUAGGGCGCGAGCGUUGUCCGGAUUUAUUGGGCGUAAAGAGCUCGUAGGCGGCUUGUUACGUCGACUGUGAAAACCCGCGGCUCAACUGCGGGCCUGCAGUCGAUACGGGCAGGCUAGAGUUCGGUAGGGGAGACUGGAAUUCCUGGUGUAGCGGUGAAAUGACGCAGAUAUCAGGAGGAACACCGGUGGCGAAGGCGGGUCUCUGGGCCGAUACUGACGCUGAGGAGCGAAAGCGUGGGGAGCGAACAGG